Molecule: unclassified non-coding RNA, 526 nt
Filed under: Leishmania donovani
Lineage: Eukaryota; Euglenozoa; Kinetoplastea; Trypanosomatida; Trypanosomatidae
Description: gene:LdHU3.36.4490(CDS-product:hypothetical_prote in)
Source: RNAcentral
CAACAGCGGAACAGGAGAGCCCCACGCGAUGCUCUUUGCAUUUCUCGAGGCACUGUUCUGGGUGUACGCGGUGGCCAGCUGGUGCAUGUGCUUCUUCGUCUUCUUCUCCUGUGGAGAGGGAAUUCGCUGGUUCACAACAUUUCACAACUACCUCCUCAUCUUUGGUGCCACCAGCGGUGCCGCUAUGGCGCCCUUUCGCACGGUCCCGUCUGGCAGUCUGCUGACGGUGUUCAGCGGGUGGGCCUUUUACGCGAUGCUGGUGUCGGUGCACAGCAUGCGCUUCCGACUGUGGCGCGGCCAUGUUCUACCAGUCACUGCCCCGCUCCUGUUUAUGGUGGUGUGGGCGCAGUACCGCUAAUCCGUGGCGCGUUCAGCAAUGGCAGUGGCGUGCUGAGGCCGCGUUGCUACUGUUGUGUUCGUGUUGUUGUUGGCGUUGCUUCGUAUGCGCGUUUGACCGAAACGAUGGGUGUCGGUGUGGGUGUGACGCGGCCGGUGUUCACCGGUUUGCCUUUUUGCUUUCGCUUUG